Molecule: ribosomal RNA, 497 nt
Filed under: uncultured bacterium
Lineage: Bacteria
Description: partial 16S ribosomal RNA
Rfam family: Bacterial small subunit ribosomal RNA
Source: RNAcentral
GAUGAACGCUGGCGGCGUGCCUAAUACAUGCAAGUCGAGCGAACAGACGAGGAGCUUGCUCCUCUGACGUUAGCGGCGGACGGGUGAGUAACACGUGGAUAACCUACCUAUAAGACUGGGAUAACUUCGGGAAACCGGAGCUAAUACCGGAUAAUAUAUUGAACCGCAUGGUUCAAUAGUGAAAGACGGUUUUGCUGUCACUUAUAGAUGGAUCCGCGCCGCAUUAGCUAGUUGGUAAGGUAACGGCUUACCAAGGCAACGAUGCGUAGCCGACCUGAGAGGGUGACCGGCCACACUGGAACUGAGACACGGUCCAGACUCCUACGGGAGGCAGCAGUAGGGAAUCUUCCGCAAUGGGCGAAAGCCUGACGGAGCAACGCCGCGUGAGUGAUGAAGGUCUUCGGAUCGUAAAACUCUGUUAUUAGGGAAGAACAAAUGUGUAAGUAACUAUGCACGUCUUGACGGUACCUAAUCAGAAAGCCACGGCUAACCACGUG